CGGGAUGAUCAUCGGGUUAGCCUGGCAUCCGAGGGCCGAGCCUCGAAAAAUUCCGCUCGUUGGUCGGCCAAGGCUGGCGCAAGCCGAGGCGACCUGUCGGGGCUUCAGGCUAGUCUGCUCCCGGGAUGAUCAUCGGGUUAGCCUGGCAUCCGAGGGCCGAGCCUCAGAAAAUUCCGCUCGUUGGUCACGCGCCUGUCGCUUGCCGCUCGACGAGAUUUCUCCGUGGCCAG
RNAcentral lists this long non-coding RNA (230 nucleotides) under Phoenix dactylifera (date palm). Its description in RNAcentral is "long non-coding RNA (PDAC_LNC021446)". Lineage: Eukaryota; Viridiplantae; Streptophyta; Magnoliopsida; Arecales; Arecaceae. The record is from RNAcentral.